This 429-nucleotide ribosomal RNA is filed under the name Actinomycetes bacterium. Its description in RNAcentral is "Actinobacteria bacterium partial 16S ribosomal RNA". It matches the Rfam family "Bacterial small subunit ribosomal RNA", at positions 355 to 776 of the family's 1533-position model. The record is from RNAcentral. Lineage: Bacteria; Bacillati; Actinomycetota; Actinomycetes.
UAGGGAAUCUUCCGCAAUGGGCGAAAGCCUGACGGAGCAACGCCGCGUGAGUGAUGAAGGUCUUCGGAUCGUAAAACUCUGUUAUUAGGGAAGAACAAAUGUGUAAGUAACUAUGCACGUCUUGACGGUACCUAAUCAGAAAGCCACGGCUAACUACGUGCCAGCAGCCGCGGUAAUACGUAGGUGGCAAGCGUUAUCCGGAAUCAUUGGGCGUAAAGCGCGCGUAGGCGGUUUUUUAAGUCUGAUGUGAAAGCCCACGGCUCAACCGUGGAGGGUCAUUGGAAACUGGGAAACUUGAGUGCAGAAGAGGAAAGUGGAAUUCCAUGUGUAGCGGUGAAAUGCGCAGAGAUAUGGGGAAACACCAGUGGCGAAGGCGACUUUCUGGUCUGUAACUGACGCUGAUGUGCGAAAGCGUGGGGAUCAAACAGG